UAUUAUGGAUCUCCAAUUAUCUUAACAUUGAGACUGCAACAAUUCAGGAGGGAUAGAAAUCUGAUCCUUGGGGGUGAUGCCAUCUAGUGGACAGGUGUUCAGGCUCCAUAGCACACCUACGGCCCUGACAUUGCUGUUAUCCUUGAAGGUCACCCCGGGACCCUCCAGCACACACCCUGUGAAGUCCCUCCCAAUCACCAACCCCUCGUGUCCAGUCAAGUCAAUGGUGAACAAACUGGAUUGGUACACAAACUGGAGCCAUCUUUUGAAACAGUAAACAAAGAGAUGAUAAAGAAAAGUCCAAAUGUAAAG
This is a long non-coding RNA of Saccostrea echinata, 312 nucleotides long. RefSeq lists it as uncharacterized. The record is from RefSeq and is a predicted model, not a curated record. NCBI's taxonomy places the organism in Eukaryota, Metazoa, Mollusca, Bivalvia, Ostreida, Ostreidae. The transcript is spliced from 3 exons.